This 326-nucleotide ribosomal RNA is filed under the name uncultured eukaryote. RNAcentral describes it as "partial 18S ribosomal RNA". It matches the Rfam family "Eukaryotic small subunit ribosomal RNA", at positions 1470 to 1796 of the family's 1831-position model. The record is from RNAcentral.
CCCUUAGAUGUUCUGGGCCGCACGCGUGCUACACUGACCGGCGCAACAAGCUUUUUUCCUUGGCUCGACAGGCCUGGGUAAUCUUCGAACGCCGGUCGUGAUGGGGAUAGAUCCUUGCAAUUUUUGAUCUUCAACGAGGAAUUCCUAGUAGUGGUGGUUCAUCAGACCAUCGCGAUUACGUCCCUGCCCUUUGUACACACCGCCCGUCGCUCCUACCGAUUGAACCGAAACGUGAGUGUUUUGGAUCGGAAUUCGCUGGGGAAACUCGGUCGUUUUCUGAGAAAUCAAGCAAACGUUUCUGUUUAGAGGAAGGAGAAGUCGUAACA